UCACACCCGUUCCCAUCCCGAACACGGUCGUUAAGCUCUUCAGCGCCGAUGGUAAUUGGGGGCUUCCCCCUGUGAGAGUAGGACGCUGCCAGGC
RNAcentral lists this ribosomal RNA (94 nucleotides) under Scopulibacillus daqui. The record is from RNAcentral. Lineage: Bacteria; Bacillati; Bacillota; Bacilli; Caryophanales; Sporolactobacillaceae.